CCUACGGGUGGCUGCAGUGGGGAAUAUUGCACAAUGGGGGAAACCCUGAUGCAGCAACGCCGCGUGAGUGAUGACGGCCUUCGGGUUGUAAAGCUCUGUCUUCAGGGACGAUAAUGACGGUACCUGAGGAGGAAGCCACGGCUAACUACGUGCCAGCAGCCGCGGUAAUACGUAGGGAGCGGGCGUUGUCCGGAAUUACGGGGUGUAAAGGGAGCGUAGUCGGGACUGCAAGUUGGGUGUCAAAUCUACCGGCUCAACCGGUAGCCGCACUCAAAACUGCAGUUCUUGAGUGAAGUAGAGGCAGGCGGAAUUCCUAGUGUAGCGGUGAAAUGCGUAGAUAUUAGGAGGAACACCAGUGGCGAAGGCGGCCUGCUGGGCUUUUACUGACGCUGAGGCUCGAAAGUGUGGGGAGCAAACAGGAUUAGAUACCCUUGUAGUC
This 439-nucleotide ribosomal RNA is filed under the name uncultured bacterium. RNAcentral's name for it is "partial 16S ribosomal RNA". It matches the Rfam family "Bacterial small subunit ribosomal RNA", at positions 338 to 795 of the family's 1533-position model. The record is from RNAcentral.